Molecule: ribosomal RNA, 253 nt
Filed under: uncultured bacterium
Lineage: Bacteria
Description: partial 16S ribosomal RNA
Rfam family: Bacterial small subunit ribosomal RNA
Source: RNAcentral
UACGGGGGGGGCAAGCGUUGUUCGGAAUUACUGGGCGUAAAGGGCUCGUAGGCGGCCAACUAAGUCGGACGUGAAAUCCCUCGGCUUAACCGGGGAACUGCGUCCGAUACUGGAUGGCUUGAGUUUGGGAGAGGGAUGCGGAAUUCCAGGUGUAGCGGUGAAAUGCGUAGAUAUCUGGAGGAACACCGGUGGCGAAGGCGGCAUCCUGGACCAACACUGACGCUGAGGCACGAAGGCCAGGGGAGCAAACGGG